This 835-nucleotide ribosomal RNA is filed under the name Trichoderma reesei. Its description in RNAcentral is "SSU rRNA". It matches the Rfam family "Eukaryotic small subunit ribosomal RNA", at positions 115 to 947 of the family's 1831-position model. The record is from RNAcentral. Lineage: Eukaryota; Fungi; Ascomycota; Sordariomycetes; Hypocreales; Hypocreaceae.
GUUUAUUUGAUAAUACUUUACUACUUGGAUAACCGUGGUAAUUCUAGAGCUAAUACAUGCUGAAAAUCCCGACUUCGGAAGGGAUGUAUUUAUUAGAUUAAAAACCAAUGCCCCUCGGGGCUCUCUGGUGAAUCAUGAUAACUAGUCGAAUCGACAGGCCUUGUGCCGGCGAUGGCUCAUUCAAAUUUCUUCCCUAUCAACUUUCGAUGUUUGGGUAUUGGCCAAACAUGGUGGCAACGGGUAACGGAGGGUUAGGGCUCGACCCCGGAGAAGGAGCCUGAGAAACGGCUACUACAUCCAAGGAAGGCAGCAGGCGCGCAAAUUACCCAAUCCCGACACGGGGAGGUAGUGACAAUAAAUACUGAUACAGGGCUCUUUUGGGUCUUGUAAUCGGAAUGAGUACAAUUUAAAUCCCUUAACGAGGAACAAUUGGAGGGCAAGUCUGGUGCCAGCAGCCGCGGUAAUUCCAGCUCCAAUAGCGUAUAUUAAAGUUGUUGUGGUUAAAAAGCUCGUAGUUGAACCUUGGGCCUGGCUGGCCGGUCCGCCUCACCGCGUGCACUGGUCCGGCCGGGCCUUUCCCUCUGCGGAACCCCAUGCCCUUCACUGGGUGUGGCGGGGAAACAGGACUUUUACUUUGAAAAAAUUAGAGUGCUCAGGCAGGCCUAUGCUCNAAUACAUUAGCAUGGAAUAAUAGAAUAGGNACGUGUGGGUUCUAUUUUGUUGGGUUUCNAGGACCGCCGGUANUGAUUAAUAGGGGACAGUCGGGGGGCAUCAAGUAUUCAAUUGUCNNAAGGUGAAAUUCCUUGGNAUUUUNUUGNAAGACUUAACUACUGGC